AAUCCUGUGACACCAGCACAUCAGAGGGAAGAGGAGAGGCGCUAAUCCCUGAGUGACUGGAGUGUCUACAUCUUCAUCUGCCUUCCUUGAUUUCCACAAAUGCCUUGGUCACAGGGAAACUUCAUGUGAUUCCUCGUCAAGGAUGGAAAGUGGGAUUCUGAGCAAGACUGCAUUGUUGUCUUCUGGCCUGGGAAGUUCUGGAUGAGGAGAAGUUUGAAAUCAAGCUGUCAGCCAGCAGUCCAUGCGCUCUCCGAAUCUCAUGGAGGAAGAAGGAUCAUGGCUUGCAAGCCCCUGGCUUGUGCUCUACAAGAGUCUCUGACAUUCCUUAGGCUGGCAACUAUCCAGGCCCAGUGAUGCUACCAUCUCUGCCCUCUCUCCAGUCCUCAGUGUUAGGGUUA
Mus caroli (Ryukyu mouse) is the source of this 398-nucleotide non-coding RNA. The record is from RefSeq and is a predicted model, not a curated record. NCBI's taxonomy places the organism in Eukaryota, Metazoa, Chordata, Mammalia, Rodentia, Muridae.